RNAcentral lists this ribosomal RNA (444 nucleotides) under uncultured bacterium. Its description in RNAcentral is "partial 16S ribosomal RNA". It matches the Rfam family "Bacterial small subunit ribosomal RNA", at positions 354 to 796 of the family's 1533-position model. The record is from RNAcentral.
GUAGGGAAUAUUGGGCAAUGGUCGGAAGACUGACCCAGCCAUGCCGCGUGCAGGAAGACGGCCCUCUGGGUUGUAAACUGCUUUUAUCUGGGAAGAAAAAGGCCAUGCGUGGCAAAUUGCCGGUACCAGAUGAAUAAGCACCGGCUAACUCCGUGCCAGCAGCCGCGGUAAUACGGAGGGUGCGAGCGUUGUCCGGAUUUAUUGGGUUUAAAGGGUGCGUAGGCGGCUGAUUAAGUCAGCGGUGAAAGACUUCGGCUUAACCGGAGCAGUGCCGUUGAUACUGGUUGGCAUGAGUGUCGGAGGGGUACAUGGAAUUGAUGGUGUAGCGGUGAAAUGCAUAGAUACCAUCAGGAACACCGAUAGCGAAGGCAUUGUACUGGCCGACAACUGACGCUGAUGCACGAAAGUGUGGGGAUCGAACAGGAUUAGAAACCCCAGUAGUCC